This 265-nucleotide ribosomal RNA is filed under the name uncultured prokaryote. RNAcentral's name for it is "partial 16S ribosomal RNA". It matches the Rfam family "Bacterial small subunit ribosomal RNA", at positions 524 to 788 of the family's 1533-position model. The record is from RNAcentral.
UACGUAGGGGGCGAGCGUUGUCCGGAAUGAUUGGGCGUAAAGGGCGCGCAGGCGGCCUGUCAAGUCAGUAGUGGAAGUCCAUUUUUCAAGGAUGGAAGUGCUAUAGAAACUGAUGGGCUUGAGUGCAGGAGAGGUUAUCGGAAUUCCCGGUGUAGCGGUGAAAUGCGUAGAGAUCGGGAGGAACACCAGUGGCGAAGGCGGGUAACUGGACUGCAACUGACGCUGAGGCGCGAAAGUGUGGGGAGCAAACAGGAUUAGAUACCCU